RNAcentral lists this ribosomal RNA (522 nucleotides) under uncultured bacterium. RNAcentral's name for it is "bacterial SSU rRNA". It matches the Rfam family "Bacterial small subunit ribosomal RNA", at positions 777 to 1297 of the family's 1533-position model. The record is from RNAcentral.
AAUAGAUACCCAGGUAGUCCACGCCCUAAACGAUGCGAACUGGAUGUUGGGUACAUUGCGGUACUCAGUGUCGAAGCUAACGCGUUAAGUUCGCCGCCUGGGGAGUACGGUCGCAAGACUGAAACUCAAAGGAAUUGACGGGGGCCCGCACAAGUGGUGGAGUAUGUGGUUUAAUUCGAUGCAACGCGAAGAACCUUACCUGGCCUUGACAUCUGUCGAAUCCUGCAGAGAUGCGGGAGUGCCGCAAGGAACGACAAGACAGGUGCUGCAUGGCUGUCGUCAGCUCGUGUCGUGAGAUGUUGGGUUAAGUCCCGCAACGAGCGCAACCCUUGUCCCUAGUUGCCAGCACGUAAUGGUGGGAACUCUAGGGAGACUGCCGGUGACAAACCGGAGGAAGGUGGGGAUGACGUCAAGUCCUCAUGGCCCUUACGGCCAGGGCUACACACGUACUACAAUGGUCGGUACAGAGGGUUGCGAAGCCGCGAGGUGGAGCCAAUCCCAGAAAACCGAUCCCAGUCCGGA